CUAAGGCUCCAGAGGAAGCCACGGCUAACUCUGUGCCAGCAGCCGCGGUAAUACAGAGGCGGCAAGCGUUGUUCGGAAUUAUUGGGCGUAAAGAGCACGUAGGCGGCCUUGCAAGUCAGUUGUGAAAGCCUUCCGCUUAACGGAAGAAUGCCAGCUGAUACUACAGGGCUUGAGUACGGGAGGGGAGAGUGGAACUUCUGGUGGAGCGGUGAAAUGCGUAGAUAUCAGAAGGAACGCCGGCGGCGAAAGCGACUCUCUGGCCCGAAACUGACGCUGAGUGUGCGAAAGCUAGGGGAGCAAACGGGAUUAGAUGCCCCGGUAGUCCUAGCCGUAAA
RNAcentral lists this ribosomal RNA (335 nucleotides) under uncultured Planctomycetales bacterium. Its description in RNAcentral is "bacterial SSU rRNA". It matches the Rfam family "Bacterial small subunit ribosomal RNA", at positions 473 to 806 of the family's 1533-position model. Lineage: Bacteria; Pseudomonadati; Planctomycetota; Planctomycetia; Planctomycetales. The record is from RNAcentral.